GAUGAAGAACGUAGCGAAAUGCGAUAAGUAAUGUGAAAUGCAGAAUUCAGUGAAUCAUCGAAUCUUUGAACGCACCUUGCGCCCUUUGGCUAUUCCGAAGGGCAUGCCUGUUUGAGUAUCAUGAACACCUCAACUCUCAUGGUUUGCCAUGAUGAGCUUGGACUUUGGGGGUCUUGACGGCCUAUGGGUCGGCUCCUCUCAAAUUAAUCAGCUUGCCAGUGUUUGGUGGCAUCACAGGUGUGAUAACUAUCUACGCUUGUGGUUUUCCAUCAGGUAACCUUCAGUGAUGGAGGUUCGCUGGGGCUCAUAAAUGUCUCUCCUCAGUGAGGACAGCUUUUUUGAACGUUUGAUCUCAAAUCAGGUAGGACUACCCGCUGAACUUAAGCAUAUCAAUAAGCGGAGGA
RNAcentral lists this unclassified non-coding RNA (404 nucleotides) under soil metagenome. RNAcentral's name for it is "partial contains 5.8S ribosomal RNA, internal transcribed spacer 2, and large subunit ribosomal RNA". The stretch from base 1 to 121 matches the Rfam family "5.8S ribosomal RNA", at positions 35 to 154 of the family's 154-position model. The record is from RNAcentral.